AAAAGAAACCAACAGGGAUUGCCUCAGUAACGGCGAGUGAAGCGGCAAAAGCUCAAAUUUUAAAGCUGGCACCUCCGGUGUCCGCGUUGUAAUUUUGUGAGGCAUCUCCGGGUGGGGCGCCGGCCUAAGUUCCUUGGAACAGGACGUCAUAGGGGGUGAGAAUCCCGUGCUUGGCUGGCUGUCCCCGUCCAUGUGAGGUGUCUUCGACGAGUCGAGUUGUUUGGGAAUGCAGCUCAAAAUGGGUGGUAAAUUUCAUCUAAAGCUAAAUAUUGGUGGGAGACCGAUAGCGCACAAGUAGAGUGAUCGAAAGAUGAAAAGCACUUUGAAAAUAGAGUUAAAAAGUACGUGAAAUUGUUGAAAGGGAAGCGCUUGAGACCAGACUUCGGUGGGGAGUGAUCAGCCGUCCUUCUGGGCGGUGCACUUGCCCCCCUCCGGGCCAGCAUCGGUUGGGACGGCGGGAUAAAGGUCCCGGGAAUGUGGCUCCUCUCGGGGAGUGUUAUAGCCCGGGUGAAUGCCGCCAGCCCCGACCGAGGACCGCGCCUUCGGGCUAGGAUGCUUGGCAUAAUGGUCUUCAGCGAC
This 579-nucleotide ribosomal RNA is filed under the name Morchella americana. RNAcentral's name for it is "eukaryotic LSU rRNA". It matches the Rfam family "Eukaryotic large subunit ribosomal RNA", at positions 57 to 648 of the family's 3401-position model. Lineage: Eukaryota; Fungi; Ascomycota; Pezizomycetes; Pezizales; Morchellaceae. The record is from RNAcentral.